Molecule: long non-coding RNA, 1071 nt
Filed under: Ursus maritimus (polar bear)
Lineage: Eukaryota; Metazoa; Chordata; Mammalia; Carnivora; Ursidae
Description: lncRNA (ENSUMAG00000002897.1)
Source: RNAcentral
GUUUACUAUAUAAUUUUUUUAACUUUAAUAUGCUAAAAAUGCCAUAAAAAUGUCAAACAUAAUAGCAAAAAAAAGAAAGUAUUCGUAACUCUUGUGACAGCUCCUUGAUAUUUUUCAGCAUGAAAUAGCUUUUAUAAAUUAAGAGAGAACACAGAAAAAAAUCGGCAAAGGACAGGAAAAAAAGUAUACAUGUACAAAAAGUAUAUGAAAAAAAGAACAACCUUACUAAAAACAUAAGGAAUUAAACAUUAAUAAGACAAAAUGAAUGCCAUUUUCUUCUGUUAACUUGGCAAACAAUUUGCAAAUGAAUGACCGAGACUCCUGUACCUCCCAGGCGUGUGAAAAUUUGCAAAAACUUCCCUGGAAAGAAAUUCAGUGAUUUGAUUUGCAUCUUGAAAUAAAAGCCAUGCCCUUUGGCCAAAUGACUUUAGCACAAAUACUGUUUGCUCAGGAAAUAAUUUUGUGAUCAUAGGCGAGACUACAGCAAGAGGGAAGAAACAUGUAGGAUAAUGGGAAAUCGCCACAACGGUCAGACACUCCGUGUGGAAUUCACAGACUCUGUAAGGAUCAACCUACUAAGGCCUUCAGAUGGCUUCAAGCAUUCUUUAGAGUAUCCCCCCUUCUACUGCAUGAUGGGAAGGGCCCAAGAAUAAUGGCCCUCAGUAACUAAGGCACAAGUCAACCCAGAGUGGACAUCCAAGGGAGUGAAGACCAGCAUCAUAAGCAUCUCAGAUCCUUUGAGUCCAAUUCCAUUCUGGCCCUUUGGGGCUACUCUCAACCCCCAGCAGCCCUAAAAGACCCCUGCAGUCAUUCUGGAGAAGAGGCCGAAUUUCCCAAGAGCCAGAGAAAUCCUCAGGAACCGAGAAGGAUUUAUGCAAGCAUCGUGUGGAAUAUAGUAAGAAAUUUUGCAGGAAAGCUUUGUUGAGAGAAAGGCCAUCUCCUGAAGACUGUGCGUUCAGCUGUGCCACGGCGAUGAUUCAGCACUUUCACGCAACACCCCACAGCUUUCUUUGUCAGGAAAGCAUAUGGACAACACUGUUUGAUGUGAGGCACAGUCAGCAGAUUCAAUAA